GCACCUACGGGGGGCAGCAGUGGGGAAUAUUGCACAAUGGGGGGAACCCUGAUGCAGCGACGCCGCGUGGGUGAGGAAGUACUUCGGUAUGUAAAGCCCUAUCAGCAGGGAAGAAAAUGACGGUACCUGACUAAGAAGCCCCGGCUAACUACGUGCCAGCAGCCGCGGUAAUACGUAGGGGGCAAGCGUUAUCCGGAUUUACUGGGUGUAAAGGGAGCGUAGACGGCUGUACAAGUCUGAAGUGAAAGCCCGUGGCUCAACCGCGGAACUGCUUUGGAAACUGUAAAGCUGGCGUACUGGAGGGG
RNAcentral lists this ribosomal RNA (305 nucleotides) under uncultured bacterium. RNAcentral describes it as "bacterial SSU rRNA". It matches the Rfam family "Bacterial small subunit ribosomal RNA", at positions 335 to 657 of the family's 1533-position model. The record is from RNAcentral.